Onthophagus taurus is the source of this 330-nucleotide non-coding RNA. The record is from RefSeq and is a predicted model, not a curated record. Lineage: Eukaryota; Metazoa; Arthropoda; Insecta; Coleoptera; Scarabaeidae.
AUAAAUUAAGAGGAAAAUGUUGAAUAUUAAGGGGGAGAAUCGACGUAUUUGGAGCGAUUUAUAUGGUUCAUGAAUCAAUGAGGUUGGUAAAUGAUACAUCGUACACUGAGGGUGUAAUCGGAAUGGUCAACUUGGAUAAUCACAUAAAUUUAGCAAAACCCAUCGGGUUUAAUAACGAUAAAUCCUUGGAAAUACACAAAUUAACCUUAAUAUUCAAAUUAAAUAUAAGAUUUAAUCAAAGUUAUCGUAAAAGUGAAAUAAUUAAAUUUAUGGGGUUACAGCGCCAUCUCUUGAUGCAACUUAGAAAACCUUCAACAAAUUAUUAUGAAG